CAGCAGCUGCGGUAAUACGUAGGUGACAAGCGUUGUCCGGAAUUAUUGGGCGUAAAGGGCUCGCAGGCGGUUUCUUAAGCCUGAUGUGAAAGCCCCCGGCUCAACCGGGGAGGGUCAUUGGAAACUGGGAAACUUGAGUGCAGAAGAGGAGAGUGGAGUUCCACGUGUAGCGGUGAAAUGCGUAGAGAUGUGGAGGAACACCAGUGGCGAAGGCGACUCUCUGGUCUGUAACUGACGCUGAGGAGCGAAAGCGUGGGGAGCGAACAGGAUUAGAUACCCCCGUAGUCCCUGUCUCUUAUAC
RNAcentral lists this ribosomal RNA (301 nucleotides) under uncultured bacterium. Its description in RNAcentral is "partial 16S ribosomal RNA". It matches the Rfam family "Bacterial small subunit ribosomal RNA", at positions 509 to 807 of the family's 1533-position model. The record is from RNAcentral.